Molecule: RNA transcript, 3181 nt
Organism: Pan troglodytes (chimpanzee)
Lineage: Eukaryota; Metazoa; Chordata; Mammalia; Primates; Hominidae
Gene: SLC35D4
Gene name: transmembrane protein 241
Exons: 16
Source: RefSeq, a predicted model, not a curated record
GCCACGUGGCCGUCUCUGGGCUGCUGCUGCUGCCGCUGCCGCUGCUGCUGCUGCGGGGGUCGGGCGGCGGCCAGGGGAUUUGGGCAGGCACCGCGGAUCCCCGGGAAGGGGACGAGUUGACAGAUGUGUGUGAGGAGGUCUCUGGUCGGCCUCACCUUUUGUACCUGCUACCUGGCUUCUUACCUCACGAACAAGUAUGUGCUGUCUGUCUUGAAAUUUACCUACCCUACAUUAUUCCAAGGGUGGCAGACGCUCAUUGGUGGACUUUUGCUUCAUGUGUCCUGGAAACUGGGCUGGGUAGAGAUCAACAGCAGUUCAAGAUCUCAUGUUCUUGCGUGGCUUCCUGCUUCAGUGCUGUUUGUGGGUAUAAUCUAUGCUGGGUCCAGAGCAUUGUCCAGACUGGCCAUUCCUGUGUUUCUCACUUUGCAUAAUGUAGCUGAAGUUAUCAUCUGUGGGUACCAGAAGUGUUUUCAGAAAGAGAAAACAUCUCCUGCAAAGAUCUGUAGUGCCCUCUUCCUCCUGGCCGCAGCAGGAUGCCUUCCCUUAAAUGACUCCCAGUUUGAUCCAGAUGGAUAUUUUUGGGCUAUAAUUCACUUACUCUGUGUAGGGUCUUAUAAAAUUCUACAGAAGUCCCAGAAACCCAGUGCAUUAAGUGACAUUGACCAGCAAUACUUAAACUAUAUAUUCAGUGUGGUGCUCCUGGCAUUUGCAUCUCAUCCCACAGGUGAUCUCUUCAGCGUCCUGGACUUCCCAUUCCUGUACUUCUACAGAUUCCAUGGUAGCUGCUGUGCCAGUGGAUUUUUGGGAUUCUUUCUCAUGUUCAGUACAGUGAAGCUAAAAAACCUUCUGGCCCCAGGGCAGUGUGCAGCCUGGAUUUUCUUUGCUAAGAUAAUCACAGCUGGCUUAUCAAUAUUGCUGUUUGAUGCGAUCCUGACCAGUGCAACCACGGGAUGGAAUGAUGGGGAUUACAAGAUUUGCAAACAGUUCAGUCAAGCUCUGACUUAAAUAGUUGUAAUGCUAUUAAGAUUCCUGGACCCAUGUCAGCCUUUCCUGCUGUUUAGAAAACGACAUCAAAGCUCACCUCCCUGGCUCUCCUAACAGUAAACCGAACCAAGCCUCCUGCUCGGUGCGCUUGGAGAGGCCUUGCUGGUUUUCUCAGAGCGGAAGAGCUCCUGAACAAGACGGUCAAGAGAAAGACUCACAGGCUGCUGCAGGAGAACAGCUUGUACACCUGUGUACGAGCCCCUGGUCUCAUAGCUCCCUGUUGGAUGUGUCAGAAAGAGGAACGCAAGGACAGCGAGGCCGGUGGGCAGUGCCAUCACCCUCACCCAAGUGAAUGUGGUGGUGGCUGAUGAGGCCGAGGCCCUGGUGCUUCAAGGAGCACCCUUUCUGGGGGCCUGCAGGUUGCUACAGAGGAGCGGUCUGUUACAUCUUCCCAUUUGGAGAACCUCUCUCAACCGUGCUGUAGCUGGUUCUGCAGAAACAGGAAGUACAGGAUUUCAUGGGCUGGCUCUGCUUGCCUCGACUGAGCUUCACACCUCUGGAUGCCACAUGCUCUCUCCCAAACACUGCUUUCAGUGCGAGGUAGUGGGCCUAAGGGGUUUGGUUGUCUUUUUUUUUUUUUUCAUUUUUAAAAUUUAAAAUUUUUAUUUAUUAUUAUUUUUUAGAGACAAGGCCUCACUCUAUCGCCUAGGCUGAAGCUCAGUGGUGCGAUCACAGCUCGCUACAGCCUUGACCUCCUAGGAUCAAGCCAUCCUCCUGCCUCAGCAUCCAGAGUAGCUGAUGUGCACCACCAGACCCGUCUCAUUUUUUCUAUUUUUAUUAUUUUAGAGAUGGGGAUCUCACUGUGUUGCCCAGGCUGGUCUCAAACUCCUGGGCUCAAGCAAUCCUCCCACCUUGGCCUCAAAGUAUUGAGAUUACAGGCAUGAGCCACUGCACCCGGCCUUUCUCAUUUUUAUUUUUAAAUUGACAGACGUAACAGUGCGCAUUUAUCACGCACAACACAAUGCUUUGGGAAUGGUUAAAUCUAGCUCACAAAUGCAUUACCUCACACGGUUGUCAUUUUUGUGGUGAGGCUUGGUUGUAUGUUUUGUUUCAUUCAUGUUUUUACAUCCUUGGAGUCUCCUCUGGGUCCGUCCUUUCUUUGCUGUCAUGCUGGCUUGCCUAAGGCCCACCCCCACCUGUGUACGAGCAUUUUAAACUCUAGAGUGAGUGACAGCCUUUUUAUGGUUGGUGUUACUAUUUAUUUCCUGCCUCUAAACUUCUCGUGGUCCUUAUAAACUUGUCAGGAUGUGUGUUGCGUUGAAUUCUGCAUAUCCUUUUUUUGCCCACCAUCCGGUUUAGCUGGUACUAACUUAUCACCAGAGGAAACAGGGUUUAUGAGCACUGACAGAUGUCUUCCCUGGGCAAAAAAAAAAAAAAAUAGUAUAUGUAUACACACACACAUACACAUUUAUAUUUAUAUUUCUUAAAGCUUUUAAUCCCUUUCAUUCCCUGAUAUCUCAGAGAUUUCAAAUCAUUGAACACUGAAGUAUAUUUUUCAGGCCAGAUGAAAAAUUGUAUUAAAACCCUAUUCCUGGUCAGGCGCAGUGGCUCACGCCUAUAAUCCCAGCACUUUGGGAGGCCGAAGUAAGCAGAUCACCUGAGGUCGGGAGUUCAAGACCAACCUGGCCAACAUGGUGAAACCCUGUCUCUACUAAAAAUACAAAAAAAUUAGCCUGAUGUGGUGUUGUGUGCCUGUAGUCCCAGCUACUUAGGAGGCUGAGGUAGGAGAAUUGCUUGAACCUGGGAGGCGGAGGUUGCAGUGAGCCAAAAUUAUGCCACUGCACUCCAGCCUGGGCAACAGAGCGAGACAGUCUCAAAAACAACAACAACAACAACAACAACAAAAACCCUAUUCCUUGCCUUUGUAGGAGUCAAAAUAAAUGAACUUCUUUUUUCUUUUUUUUAUUAUUAUACUUUAAGUUCUGGGGUACACGUGCAGAAUGUGCAGGUUUGUUACAUAGGUAUACACGUGCCAUGGUGGUUUGCUGCACCCAUCAACCUGUCACCUAUAUUAGGUAUUUCCCCUAAUGUUAUCCCUCCCCUAGCCCCCCACCCCCUGACAGGCCCUGGUGUGUGAUGUUCCCCUCCCUAUGUCCAUGUGUUCUCAUUGCUCCAAAAUAAAUGAAUUUACACAAAA